GGAGGGGUGGCCGAGUGGUUUAAGGCGCACGCUUGGAAAGCGUGUUUACGAAUUUCGUAACGUGGGUUCGAAUCCCACUCCCUCCGCCA
This 89-nucleotide transfer RNA is filed under the name Alphaproteobacteria bacterium. Its description in RNAcentral is "tRNA-Ser". It matches the Rfam family "tRNA". Rfam says of the family: Transfer RNA (tRNA) molecules are approximately 80 nucleotides in length. Their secondary structure includes four short double-helical elements and three loops (D, anti-codon, and T loops). Lineage: Bacteria; Pseudomonadati; Pseudomonadota; Alphaproteobacteria. The record is from RNAcentral.